Molecule: ribosomal RNA, 306 nt
Filed under: Triticum aestivum (bread wheat)
Lineage: Eukaryota; Viridiplantae; Streptophyta; Magnoliopsida; Poales; Poaceae
Description: partial small subunit ribosomal RNA
Source: RNAcentral
AUGGUUUCAGACUAUGAAAUAUUUGGCGAUGUUAUAUGCUUUGACACCACAUACAGAAAACUAGAUGAUGAACGUCCAUUUGGUUUGAUUGUAGGGGUGAAUAAUGACCAGAAAACUAUUGUCUUUGGUGUUGCAAUUUUCUAUGAUGAAACCGCUGCUAGUUUUGGUUGGCUUUUCAGAACUUUCCUAAAAGUUAUGUUAGGAAAACAUCCACAUAAAAUUCUCACAGUUGAAGAUGCGGCAAUGGCGAAGGCAAUUCGUGAAGUCUCCCCUCACUCUCACCAUAGACUUGUGUGUGGCAUAUGA